RNAcentral lists this ribosomal RNA (253 nucleotides) under uncultured bacterium. RNAcentral describes it as "partial 16S ribosomal RNA". It matches the Rfam family "Bacterial small subunit ribosomal RNA", at positions 524 to 776 of the family's 1533-position model. The record is from RNAcentral.
UACAGAGGUCUCAAGCGUUGUUCGGAUUCAUUGGGCGUAAAGGGUGCGUAGGCGGCGCGGUAAGUCGGGUGUGAAAUCUUGGAGCUUAACUCCGAAACUGCAUUCGAUACUGCCGUGCUUGAGGACUGGAGAGGAGACUGGAAUUUACGGUGUAGCGGUGAAAUGCGUAGAUAUCAGGAGGAACACCAGCGGCGAAGGCGGCGCUCUGGGCCGGUACUGACACUGAGGAGCGAAAGCGUGGGUAGCAAACAGG